GCCCUUCGCUCCGUAAUGUGAAUUGCAGAAUUCAGUUACUCAUCUAAUCUUUGAACGCACAUUGCGCCCGCCAGUAUUCUGGCGGGCAUGCCUGUCCGAGCGUCAUUUCAACCAUCAAGCCCCCGGGCUUGUGUUGGGGACCUGCGGCUGCCCGCAGGCCCUGAAAACCAGUGGCGGGCUCGCUGUCACACCGAGCGUAGUAGCAAUCACCUCGCUCAGGGCGUGCUGCGGGUUCCGGCCGUUAAACAGCCUUACAAAACCCAAGGUUGACCUCGGAUCAGGUAGGAAGACCCGCUGAACUUAAGC
RNAcentral lists this unclassified non-coding RNA (306 nucleotides) under plant metagenome. RNAcentral describes it as "partial contains 5.8S ribosomal RNA, internal transcribed spacer 2, and large subunit ribosomal RNA". The stretch from base 1 to 105 matches the Rfam family "5.8S ribosomal RNA", at positions 50 to 154 of the family's 154-position model. The record is from RNAcentral.